CCUACGGGAUGCAGCAGUGAGGAAUUUUCGGCAAUGGGGGCAACCCUGACCGAGCAACGCCGCGUGCAGGAAGACGCUUUUCGGAGUGUAAACUGCUUUUCCCAGGGACGACACAGGACGGUACCUGGGAAUAAGCCCCGGCUAACUACGUGCCAGCAGCCGCGGUAAUACGUAGGGGACGAGCGUUGUCCGGAGUUACUGGGCGUAAAGGGCCCGCAGGCGGUCUGCCGCGUUUGUGCUGACAGCUCCUGGCUUAACUGGGAGAGCGGUGCGAAGACGGGCGGACUGAGAGGACCAGAGAGGGACAUGGAACUCCGGGUGUAGUGGUGAAGUGCGUAGAUAUCCGGAAGAACACCAAAGGCGAAGGCAGUGUCCUGGUUGGUACCUGACGCUGAGGGGCGAAAGCUAGGGGAGCGAACGGGAUUAGAUACCCUCGUAGUC
RNAcentral lists this ribosomal RNA (441 nucleotides) under uncultured bacterium. RNAcentral's name for it is "bacterial SSU rRNA". It matches the Rfam family "Bacterial small subunit ribosomal RNA", at positions 338 to 795 of the family's 1533-position model. The record is from RNAcentral.